Molecule: transfer RNA, 72 nt
Filed under: Nanobdellota archaeon
Lineage: Archaea; Nanobdellati; Nanobdellota
Description: tRNA-Met
Rfam family: tRNA
About the family: Transfer RNA (tRNA) molecules are approximately 80 nucleotides in length. Their secondary structure includes four short double-helical elements and three loops (D, anti-codon, and T loops).
Source: RNAcentral
GGCUCUGUAACUCAGUGGUAGAGUGCGGCUCUCAUGAGGCCGAAGCCGGGAGUUCAAUUCUCCCCAGAGCCA